RNAcentral lists this ribosomal RNA (342 nucleotides) under Triticum aestivum (bread wheat). RNAcentral describes it as "partial small subunit ribosomal RNA". The record is from RNAcentral. Lineage: Eukaryota; Viridiplantae; Streptophyta; Magnoliopsida; Poales; Poaceae.
AUGCGGGAUCUGGAGGAGGAAGAGGAGAUCCGAGCGUCCCGGCGGUGGAUCGACCGAUGCCAGAUCGGGCGGAGGUCGCCGCCGUGGGAGGAGCAGGGAAGGGUGAGGCCUGGGUUCGACCAGCAGCGCACGCUCUUUAGGCUGGUGCUAGGCUGCAUCUUUUCCUGCCCCCGUCCUGGUGCCUCCUCCUACCCGCGUAAAUGGCGAGCAGAGGGCGUGAUCCAGAGUUUGGAUGUGGAUGUUACUUCAGGGAGGAAGUUGGUUACAAUUUUCAUUUGUAUGAUGCAGCAGGCACAAACUAAUUUACAGAAUUUUUGGUGUUGCGGUCUCUCCCCAUCUUAA